Long non-coding RNA from Cannabis sativa, 251 nucleotides. RefSeq lists it as uncharacterized. The transcript is spliced from 2 exons. The record is from RefSeq and is a predicted model, not a curated record. Lineage: Eukaryota; Viridiplantae; Streptophyta; Magnoliopsida; Rosales; Cannabaceae.
GGAUGGAGUACAAUGUGGUUAUUAUGUUAUGAAGAUUAUCCAGAGUUUCAUGACAGUUGUUAAUCCUGCAAGUUUUUUGAAAAAUCAUUUCAAGUUAGAUGCUCCCUAUAGUAACGAGGAGAUCAAUGUCGUACGGGAUGAGUGGGCCGAAUUUGUGAAGCCUUUGAUUAUAGAUUAAGUACUUAAGGUUACUACACUUUUCUUAUAAUACAUGAGUAACAAGUUUUAUGAUUAUUGUUAUCUUUUGCAUA